This 253-nucleotide ribosomal RNA is filed under the name uncultured bacterium. RNAcentral describes it as "partial 16S ribosomal RNA". It matches the Rfam family "Bacterial small subunit ribosomal RNA", at positions 524 to 776 of the family's 1533-position model. The record is from RNAcentral.
UACGUAGGCAGCAAGCGUUGUUCGGAAUUACUGGGCGUAAAGAGUGUGUAGGUGGUGUCGUAAGUUUGGUGUGAAAUCUCCCGGCUUAACUGGGAGGGUGCGCCGAAGACUGCGAUGCUGGAGUAUGGGAGAGGAAAGCGGAAUUCCUGGUGCAGCGGUGAAAUGCGUAGAUAUCAGGAGGAACACCUGCGGUGUAGACGGCUUUCUGGACCAUUACUGACACUGAGACACGAAGGCGUGGGUAGCAAACAGG